UGUAUGUAUGUAUGUAUGUAUGUAUGUAUGCAUGCAUGUAUGUAUGUAUGACUUAGAUUACACUGUGGGCCGCGAGAGCCGGGGGCCGAAGCCGAAACACAGCGCAAGGGUCGGGAGCACACAGCACAAGUCGGUUAGUCUUGUGUGCCCCCGACCCCGACUCAGACUGCCAACACUCUACGCAGCCACUCCGCAGCCCCUCCAUCCGGGGAUGGCGCUGCAUUGAAUACACCACGAAGGGCUCUCAGGUCUCGCUACAGCGAGUCCACAAGUCUCAGCUAGGGCAAGUCAAAGGCUCUCUGAAACAACCCCCCAAAAUACCACCAACGAAAACGGGAUUCGAAGGGAAUACAAACAAACAAACAAAAAUUCGGUUAGGGCAGUCCCGGCAGGGGAGGGCUCCUGAUAUACCUAACAGGCCAACAAAAAAACCUCCAAGAGAGAAAGGCUAAGAGAGCUCGACACCACAAGACGUCUUGCAACCACCUUAAAACACCUGACCUCCACCACCUGUCCCUUCCUGGGCUGGUCCAGGGGAGAAGUAGCCUUAUAAAGAAAAGGGAUCCCGCACAAGCCUGAUCACCACUGCAGGGGCCCGGGAUAGUCCGGCGAAACCACAAAAGCGUUAGCGUUGCCACGACACACAGCUCCUAGACCCUCCAGAAAACCGCAGGGGGAGGAUUGUAGCCCGCGCGGCGCCUCCCCCUUACCGCCACUAACCUGAACGGUUGGUCCUCCGGAAACCUAUUCACCCUGUCUCGUACUGCACCGCUCUCACCCUCGUCCCUCACCAAGCAACCCAGUCCCACAGAGAAGACGUGUCUAAAUAGAAUGGCCCUCCUCGGGCCACAUCUCCCCCUCAUCCGAGCCCCGCUACCACCACCAGACCUCAACCUCCCAAACACCAGAAAACCUACGUCCUUUUGGCGCUCUCACCGCCAUUUCCCCCCUCCCCUGUCCGAGCGACCCCCCCUCCCCCCGGCUCUCCAGCACCCUACAACCUCGGAGCGGCACUAGGGAAGAAAAAGGGUUCUUCCCUGCACGACGUGACCGCCUCCAUUCCCCGUCCUUCUCCUCUUCCUCUCCCGUCUUGGGGUUCCCUCUCACCUAUUCCCUCGUCCUCCAACCCCCAUCCCCUUCGAACUCCUAUACCCCCCCGAGCCCUGCCCUACAAACUAAGCUCAAAGCGCUCUUAGGCAAUAAUCUCCACCGCUUCGGUGCACCGCAGUGCGCCUUCUGAAACCGACAGGAUCGGGUGGUCGGGUCCCACCCUGUCCCAGCCUCUCCACGGGGUGCCCAGCGCCGUGAAGGAGCGCAGGCGCGCCCAGAAGUCCACCACUGCCCGGGCGCGGGCCCGCUCCAAGGGGGUUGCUGCGGGUGCUGCUGCCGCCGCGCCUGCCGUUGCUGCUACCGCCCCUGUCGCCGGGGGGAUCCUCAGNNNNNNNNNNNNNNNNNNNNNNNNNNNNNNNNNNNNNNNNNNNNNNNNNNCAGUCCCGGCAGGGGAGGGCUCCUGAUAUACCUAACAGGCCAACAAAAAAACCUCCAAGAGAGAAAGGCUAAGAGAGCUCGACACCACAAGACGUCUUGCAACCACCUUAAAACACCUGACCUCCACCACCUGUCCCUUCCUGGGCUGGUCCAGGGGAGAAGUAGCCUUAUAAAGAAAAGGGAUCCCGCACAAGCCUGAUCACCACUGCAGGGGCCCGGGAUAGUCCGGCGAAACCACAAAAGCGUUAGCGUUGCCACGACACACAGCUCCUAGACCCUCCAGAAAACCGCAGGGGGAGGAUUGUAGCCCGCGCGGCGCCUCCCCCUUACCGCCACUAACCUGAACGGUUG
RNAcentral lists this long non-coding RNA (1839 nucleotides) under Volvox carteri. RNAcentral describes it as "long non-coding RNA (VCAR_LNC001911)". The record is from RNAcentral. Lineage: Eukaryota; Viridiplantae; Chlorophyta; Chlorophyceae; Chlamydomonadales; Volvocaceae.